UUUGAAAAAGUUUCCAAUUUGGUAUAAAGCUUCCAUUUUUGGAAAUUUCCAAAAAUAAAAACAGAUUUUCCAAAAAUGGAAAAUCUGCUGCAGAAAACGCUCUCGGCCGGAAAUCGCCUUGAUUUUUGGUCCGGCCAUAUCUUCCUCCUCCGGCCACCGAUCCUCACCAAACUUCUUCCAUUGGCUUCGUAUGGUCCUUGCGCACCUGUCUGUGGCAGCCUUUCAUGGCGGCGCGGCCUGUAGCGGCGGCGGAAAGCUUGUUUCGAUUUAAGCCCGAUUUUGAGUCAACGCCGAUAUCUUGAGUUUCCGGCCACCUUUCUUUGUGAUUCUUGGCUUGAUGAACUCGCCUUGAGAUUCUGAACCAGUCUCCAGAAGGAAUCGAAGCGAGUGGUGGACGUUUUCACGCUGAUCGGAGCUCUCGCCGGAUUCUGGAAAAAUUCCGGCCACCGUGACUGAGUUUGGUGAUCGAUGGAUUUAUUUGGCGGACGAUUCGUGAGAUUGUUAAUUGAGCUGUUAAGAAGACGCAGCUGGAUCAGAGCGGAUAAUCCUACAGGACUGGAGAAUUCAGGAAGGUGAUCGAACCGUGUAGAGUAGCUGCUUUGUAAUACUCUGAUUUUCAGUUGUGAGGUUUGUUAUGCUCAUUAGAGCUUUACAAUUUACUUUGUACGAGUGAGUUGUAAUAAUUAACUCGAGGUCUUCGAGUUUUGAAUUUGAGCGUGAGUGGCGAGGUUGUUUCUGAGAAAAAAAAAAAUUCAGAACGUUUAUUUGUUUAAGUUGUUUAAUUCAUGUUUCGGAUUUGAAUUUGUUAUUCAAAAUUCGGGGCGUGACAGUUUGGUAUCAGAGCGUAAGGUGCAUAUUUGGUGAUGUGUCAAUACUUUCCGAGUGAUGGCCCGUCUGCAGCGGAUCCCCAUCGUGUGCUCUUCGGUAUUGGCUAAGUCAUUGGGUAUGCGUGAGUGUUGGGAGUUGUUUAGGCCGCUAGGUCGUUUUAGGAACG
This is a long non-coding RNA of Rosa rugosa (rugosa rose), 994 nucleotides long. RefSeq lists it as uncharacterized. Lineage: Eukaryota; Viridiplantae; Streptophyta; Magnoliopsida; Rosales; Rosaceae. The record is from RefSeq and is a predicted model, not a curated record. The transcript has 3 exons.